Molecule: ribosomal RNA, 253 nt
Filed under: uncultured bacterium
Lineage: Bacteria
Description: partial 16S ribosomal RNA
Rfam family: Bacterial small subunit ribosomal RNA
Source: RNAcentral
UACGGAGGGAGCUAGCGUUGUUCGGAAUUACUGGGCGUAAAGCGCACGUAGGCGGCUAUUCAAGUCGGGGGUGAAAGCCCGGGGCUCAACCCCGGAACUGCCCUCGAAACUAGAUAGCUAGAAUCUUGGAGAGGCGAGUGGAAUUCCGAGUGUAGAGGUGAAAUUCGUAGAUAUUGGGAAGAACACCGGUGGCGAAGGCGGCGCUCUGGACCGAGACUGACGCUGAGGCGCGAAAGCGUGGGGAGCAAACAGG